RNAcentral lists this ribosomal RNA (428 nucleotides) under uncultured bacterium. RNAcentral's name for it is "bacterial SSU rRNA". It matches the Rfam family "Bacterial small subunit ribosomal RNA", at positions 917 to 1344 of the family's 1533-position model. The record is from RNAcentral.
GGGCCCGCACAAGCGGUGGAGUAUGUGGUUUAAUUCGAUGCAACGCGAAGAACCUUACCAGGGUUUGACAUCCUGCGAAUCUCUUGGAAACAGGAGAGUGCCUUCGGGAACGCAGUGACAGGUGGUGCAUGGCUGUCGUCAGCUCGUGUCGUGAGAUGUUGGGUUAAGUCCCGCAACGAGCGCAACCCACGUCUUUAGUUACCAGCGGGUUAAGCCGGGAACUCUAAGGAUACUGCCAGUGACAAACUGGAGGAAGGCGGGGACGACGUCAAGUCAUCAUGCCCCUUACAUCCUGGGCUACACACGUACUACAAUGCUACGGACAAAGGGCAGCAAGUUCGCGAGGACAAGCAAAUCCCAUAAACCGUGGCUCAGUUCAGAUCGUAGGCUGCAACUCGCCUACGUGAAGGCGGAAUCGCUAGUAAUCG